This 468-nucleotide ribosomal RNA is filed under the name uncultured bacterium. RNAcentral's name for it is "partial 16S ribosomal RNA". It matches the Rfam family "Bacterial small subunit ribosomal RNA", at positions 28 to 507 of the family's 1533-position model. The record is from RNAcentral.
GACGAACGCUGGCGGCGUGCUUAACACAUGCAAGUCGAACGGCAAGGCCCUGCUUUUUUGGGGUGCUCGAGUGGCGAUCGCGUGCGUAUCACGUGUGUAACCUGCCCUUGACUUUCGGAUAACUUCAUGUAACUGUGGCUAAUACCGUAUCGCAUCUCCUGCUGCAUGGUGUGGGUUGGAUCUUUUCGGCGGUUGGGGAUGGACUCGCGGCUUAUCAGCUUGUUGGUGGGGUAGUGGCUUACCAAGGCUUUGACGGGUAGCAGGCAUGAGAGGGUGACCGGCGACAAGGGGACUGAGAGACGGAGCAGAGGGCUACGGGAGGCAGCAGGGGGGAAGAUGGCACAAUGGGAGGAAGCCGGAGGCAGAAACGCCGCGGGCGGGAAGACGGCCUGCGGGGUGUAAAAAGAAGGAGGCUGAGACGAAGCGGGAGUGACGGUAAUGGGUAAAGAAGCACCGGCUAACUACGUG